Molecule: unclassified non-coding RNA, 219 nt
Filed under: Azotobacter beijerinckii
Lineage: Bacteria; Pseudomonadati; Pseudomonadota; Gammaproteobacteria; Pseudomonadales; Pseudomonadaceae
Description: Pseudomonas sRNA P29
Source: RNAcentral
AACGCAGAAAGGGAGCCGAGGCUCCCUUUCCAAUCGAAGUGCGUUCUUUGUUCUUGUUCUGUUUCCGGGCGUGUUGUUCUUGUCGUAUGCCCGUCCCGGUUGGCCCGUGGGCUCCGGGAUGGCCCCCAAUGGGGAGCCAAUAGCAAACGGAUUUCUUUGGUCGCUGAUGUUGCCUGGGUCGUGCCGACCCACCAGUUCGGGUGCUGCCUGGGGGCAGUU